GACGAACGCUGGCGGCGUGCUUAACACAUGCAAGUCGAACGAUGAAGCUGGAGCUUGCUCCGGUGGAUUAGUGGCGAACGGGUGAGUAACACGUGAGCAAUCUGCCCUUGACUCUGGGAUAACUGCGGGAAACUGUAGCUAAUACCGGAUACGAGACCUGAAGGCAUCUUAGGGUCUGGAAAGAAUUUCGGUCAAGGAUGAGCUCGCGGCCUAUCAGCUUGUUGGUGAGGUAAUGGCUCACCAAGGCGACGACGGGUAGCCGGCCUGGGAGGGUGACCGUCCACACUGGGACUGAGACACGGCCCAGACUCCUACGGGAGGCAGCAGUGGGGAAUAUUGCACAAUGGGCGAAAGCCUGAUGCAGCAACGCCGCGUGAGGGAUGAAGGCCUUCGGGUUGUAAACCUCUUUUAGCAGGGAAGAAGCGAAAGUGACGGUACCUGCAGAAAAAGCACCGGCUAACUACGUGCCAGCCGCCGCCGUAA
This 483-nucleotide ribosomal RNA is filed under the name uncultured bacterium. RNAcentral describes it as "partial 16S ribosomal RNA". It matches the Rfam family "Bacterial small subunit ribosomal RNA", at positions 28 to 523 of the family's 1533-position model. The record is from RNAcentral.